RNAcentral lists this long non-coding RNA (286 nucleotides) under Cucumis sativus (cucumber). RNAcentral's name for it is "long non-coding RNA (CSAT_LNC002583)". Lineage: Eukaryota; Viridiplantae; Streptophyta; Magnoliopsida; Cucurbitales; Cucurbitaceae. The record is from RNAcentral.
GCAGAGUUGGAUGGAAAGAAGCCCAGUUGACACCACGGUCAUGACCUUCCAAUACAUAUUUGACCACAGCAUCAACACCUCCAAAAAGAUCUGUAUUCAUCUGACUUAACCGCAAAAUGUCAUCUGCAGGGGAUACUGUCUUCUUUCUCAAGGCACCUAUGUCCCAAACACGAACAGUCUGAUCUAGGGAGGCAGACACAACAAGGUCAUCCUUAGGGUGGAAUGAAGCACACAUAACAUAAUGAUUGUGGCCGGUCAACACAGAAAUGCAAGUACGAGACUGCCA